Molecule: ribosomal RNA, 463 nt
Filed under: uncultured bacterium
Lineage: Bacteria
Description: SSU rRNA
Rfam family: Bacterial small subunit ribosomal RNA
Source: RNAcentral
AGGAUUAACGCUGGCGGCGUGCCUAACACAUGCAAGUCGAACGAGGUAGCAAUACCUAGUGGCAGACGGGUGAGUAACGCGUGGUCAACCUACCGUUGAGUGGGGGAUAACUAGCCGAAAGGUUAGCUAAUACCGCAUACGAGUUUCGGGGGCAUCCCUGGAUCUUAAAAGGAGCAAUCCGCUCGAUGACGGGACCGCGUCCCAUUAGCUAGAUGGUGGGGUAACGGCCUACCAUGGCACCGAUGGGUAGCUGGUUUGAGAGAGCGACCAGCCACACUGGGACUGAGAAACGGCCCAGACUCCUACGGGAGGCAGCAGUGAGGAAUUUUCCGCAAUGGGCGAAAGCCUGACGGAGCGACGCCGCGUGUGGGAAGAAGGCCUUCGGGUCGUAAACCACUGUCGAAGGGGACGAUAAUGACGGUACCCUUGGAGGAAGCCCGGCUAACUACGCGCCAGCAGCCGC